AGUGAACGCUGGCGGUAGGCCUAACACAUGCAAGUCGAACGGCAGCACAGUAAGAGCUUGCUCUUACGGGUGGCGAGUGGCGGACGGGUGAGGAAUACAUCGGAAUCUACUUUUUCGUGGGGGAUAACGUAGGGAAACUUAGGCUAAUACCGCAUACGACCUACGGGUGAAAGCAGGGGAUCUUCGGACCUUGCGCGAUUGAAUGAGCCGAUGUCGGAUUAGCUAGUUGGCGGGGUAAAGGCCCACCAAGGCGACGAUGCGUAGCUGGUCUGAGAGGAUGAUCAGCCACACUGGAACUGAGACACGGUCCAGACUCCUACGGGAGGCAGCAGUGGGGAAUAUUGGACAAUGGGCGCAAGCCUGAUCCAGCCAUACCGCGUGGGUGAAGAAGGCCUUCGGGUUGUAAAGCCCUUUUGUUGGGAAAGAAAAGCAGCAGGUUAAUACCCCGCUGUUCUGACGGUACCCAAAGAAUAAGCACCGGCUAACUUCGUG
Molecule: ribosomal RNA, 492 nt
Filed under: uncultured bacterium
Lineage: Bacteria
Description: partial 16S ribosomal RNA
Rfam family: Bacterial small subunit ribosomal RNA
Source: RNAcentral